Molecule: ribosomal RNA, 406 nt
Filed under: uncultured bacterium
Lineage: Bacteria
Description: partial 16S ribosomal RNA
Rfam family: Bacterial small subunit ribosomal RNA
Source: RNAcentral
AUUGAACGCUGGCGGCAGGCCUAACACAUGCAAGUCGAACGAGUGGCGGACGGGUGAGUAAUGUCUGGGAAACUGCCUGAUGGAGGGGGAUAACUACUGGAAACGGUAGCUAAUACCGCUUACCACACGAUGUGCCCAGGUGGGAUUAGCUAGUUGGUGGGGUAACGCCUCACCAAGGCGACGAUCCCUAGCUGGGCUGAGAGGAUGAACCGCCACACUGGACCUGAGACACGGUCCAGACUCCUACGGGAGGCAGCAGUGGGGAAUAUUGCACAAUGGGCGCAAGCCUGAUGCAGCCAUGCCGCGUGUAUGAAGAAGGCCUUCGGGUUGUAAAGUACUUUCAGCGGGGAGGCGUUACCCGCAGAAGAAGCAACGGCUAACUCCGUGCCAGCAGCCGCGGUAAUUC